RNAcentral lists this ribosomal RNA (496 nucleotides) under uncultured bacterium. RNAcentral describes it as "partial 16S ribosomal RNA". It matches the Rfam family "Bacterial small subunit ribosomal RNA", at positions 28 to 507 of the family's 1533-position model. The record is from RNAcentral.
GAUGAACGCUGGCGGCGUGCCUAAUACAUGCAAGUCGAGCGAACGGACGAGAAGCUUGCUUCUCUGAUGUUAGCGGCGGACGGGUGAGUAACACGUGGAUAACCUACCUAUAAGACUGGGAUAACUUCGGGAAACCGUAGCUAAUACCGGAUAAUAUUUUGAACCGCAUGGUUCAAAAGUGAAAGACGGUCUUGCUGUCACUUAUAGAUGGAUCCGCGCUGCAUUAGCUAGUUGGUAAGGUAACGGCUUACCAAGGCAACGAUGCAUAGCCGACCUGAGAGGGUGAUCGGCCACACUGGAACUGAGACACGGUCCAGACUCCUACGGGAGGCAGCAGUAGGGAAUCUUCCGCAAUGGGCGAAAGCCUGACGGAGCAACGCCGCGUGAGUGAUGAAGGUCUUCGGAUCGUAAAACUCUGUUAUUAGGGAAGAACAUAUGUGUAAGUAACUGUGCACAUCUUGACGGUACCAAUCAGAAAGCCACGGCUAACUACGUG